RNAcentral lists this ribosomal RNA (377 nucleotides) under uncultured bacterium. RNAcentral's name for it is "bacterial SSU rRNA". It matches the Rfam family "Bacterial small subunit ribosomal RNA", at positions 523 to 898 of the family's 1533-position model. The record is from RNAcentral.
AUACGUAGGGCGCGAGCGUUGUCCGGAAUUAUUGGGCGUAAAGAGCUCGUAGGUGGCUUGUCGCGUCUGCCGUGAAAGCCUGCGGCUUAACCGUGGGUCUGCGGUGGAUACGGGCUGGCUUGAGGUAGGUAGGGGCAAGCGGAAUUCCAGGUGUAGCGGUGAAAUGCGCAGAUAUCAGGAGGAACACCGGUGGCGAAGGCGGCUUGCUGGGCCUUACCUGACGCUGAGGAGCGAAAGCGUGGGGAGCGAACAGGAUUAGAUACCCUGGUAGUCCACGCUGUAAACGUUGGGCGCUAGGUGUGGGGUUCUUCCACGGAUUCCGUGCCGUAGCUAACGCAUUAAGCGCCCCGCCUGGGGAGUACGGCCGCAAGGCUAAA